AAUAUUCGGUCUAACGGUUUUUGGGCGGUAUUCGGCGCCGAAUUUUCGACCAACCGCAUAUUCGGUACAUCUCUAGUUUCCAGCAAUUGAUAUUGCUUGAUUUUCAGUAAUUUAGUUUGCUGGAUUUUUCAGUAAUCAAAAUUGCUGAAUAUUUUGCUAAAAAGCCAACAGGACAAAACCCACACACAAAAUUUCUCGGCCUCAACUUAGCAAAAAGAGGUCAUUACUUUCCGUUAGCAAAAUUUUUUUUUUACUAAUGAGUUAGUACUUUCCCAUUUUGUUAUGUGUUUUGCUCAAGUUGAGUAAAAAAAACCCAUUUGCUACUGCAUUUAGUUAUUUACGGUAGUAGGGACUUAAACUUUUAGCGUGUGCUCAAACCAGGCUGUGUUUUGUUUUUAUUUUCGGACGUUGCAAAAUUUCGGAGCAGAAAAAUGUCAGUGCCGCGGCUCAACUUCCCACCAACCGGAGCAACCAUCAGUGGUUUUCGUUCGCUCUUCCUUAAUAUUGGUGAGUUUAAGAUUUGUUUUGAAUUUGAAAGGAAACUUUUUUGGUUUUUUUUCAGAUACCCCGUUUGGGUGUAGCCGUUUGGAAAUAGUAGAUUGUGUUGAUAGCGGGCUAUCCGGGAACGAUUGUGCCGCUCGUUUGGGACACCUGUGUGUUCACACUUAUUGAACCUUUCGUGCAUGAGAACUUGUACCCGAAAAGCAGAUUAUCAACUCCGGCUGUUGGAUAAUUCUGGUAGACUCUGUGGAUCUUCUACUUGGACAGUUCAGAAGAUGCGCAGCUAAAAGGAUUUUAGCUUGAUUUGUCUCGCGUGCUGCAGUAAUAGAACCCGGGGAUCCAGAGGCGUGAAAGCUAUAAUUAAUCAAACGAUUUUCGUUUGAGUGAAAUUCAAUGAGGAACGGAGGAAGAAUUGCCAUUUUCGAAGCCGCUGCCAAAAGAAACCAAAAAACAUUAUUUCGAUUCGGUCUCGGUAACUUCGUUCCACUGUUUGAGACCUGAGAGGACGGUGGAAUCUUCACCACCCACGAAUUUCCGAAAUGAAAAAGAAAGUGCCAAAUUUAGAUUCUUAGCUUCUAUCACCCUACGCCAACAUGCGGGGCAAUUGAAACAAUCAUCUUAUUUUCUAAUUCGACCCCAUGCAUCAUUCAGUGCUGGAUUCUUAUGCAGAACCUUCCCUGUCAGGAACGUUUGCUCAAUCGGGCCGAUUGCAAAACAGACAUGGCGGCACUCGAAUUCUAGCGGUUAGAAUUCGGUCGGUUUUCGGCUCGAUUUCCAUCCGCCUGCUCGAUUGCUCGAAAACAGACGAUAUUUUGCGCAGUGCUGCGAUGAACAAAACGAAACACGAGCAGUUUUCAAUCGCAGCAAUCCGGGUGCGUGUUUUGUUUUGGUGUCUGUUGUUGUGAAUUGUGUUGUGGAAUUUGAUCGCAGUUGUCCGGCGAUAAUUUAAUAUUAAGCAAGAAAACAUCGACCCCUGCAAACAAAGCUUCCAAGGAAAUGUCCCGUGUGUAUGGGCUUUGGUGGAAUGUCAUCGCGGACAUCGGAACCGGAUCCGGAUCCCGGACCAACUCAGAGGUGGUGGCUUUACUUGGAUUACUUUUAAUUAGUUUUUGGCGUGAAACUUCAAAGUGAAAAGCAAAGUGAUGCAAUUUUACAACGUUCCCCUUACGCACUUUUCCGCAGACUGUCGAAAACAGGCGCAAAUAAAUUCUGUUAGGGCGUCAUCCCGGAGGACUCCGAAUAUCCAUAGAACAACGGGUGCGAUUCUGGGAGCGACCCAAUUUCCCUAAUUUGAUAUGUUAUGAAAUCAAAUACCAAACCAAUAUGAGCACGAGUAAAAUAUUGCUGGGCAUAUGAUCUCGAUAACGAUGCCAUCGGAACAGAUGCGCAUCGAUGCAGCAAAAAAGAGGAGGAAAAAGUUCAAAACCGCAAAGUUUCGCCGUGUUUUAAUUCCGCCGGCCCGAAAUACAUUUGCUGAACCGGUAAAAUCUUUCCAUCAACUUUGGCUAGUUGCUACCUACUUCUGUUUUGUACUUGAAAAGCUUUUUCAGAUAAGUUCGGAAAUAUUUAUUUCAAGUAUUGGUAUCAUGAUCCAGCUGUAGAAUGUUUGCUGCAGUCUACUGUCGGUGGGUGUGCUGGAGACUGAAUCCAAGCAUGGAGUUGCGUGUGCUGACCGCUAAUUUCAUCCAGCUUUCAUUAGAUCUGGCUCAAGUGAGGCGAUGCGGUCCAAAACAAACAAAAUAUACGCCUCUAAUUUGAGGAGGGCCAACAUUUAUUAGCGCAUCAGAUAAGAUAUUGUUAAGGUUGCCUUCACACAUCAUGAAAUUUAGGAAAAACGAAGUAGCCAGACCGGCCUCCACCCCGAAGCAUCGAAAAUGGACGAAGCAUCUGAAGCAAACUUUCACGGAGAGGGCUGGCGGUCCACGGACACUUCAAUGACAACAAAGAAUCUUCUAGCGACGGAAAGCCCAUGGAAUGACAAUUUACAUCGCAGUUUCUCAUUGCGAAGCUGGAAGUGGAAAACGGUUCUAAGAUGAUCGUGAAUCGGUCCAGCAAUUUCGGUUAUUUCCUACUCGUGUACCUAGCUUGGGUAAGUUAAAGUUUUAUGAAGGAUUUAAUUAUUAAACUAUCAUGAUAUUCUAAGAGGAACGAUUGCAUUUAAAAUAUGUAAACUAAAUGUAAUCAAAAUAAGGAAAACUAAACAUAAUUAUGUAUCGAGCAAAUUUUGGCUAUUUUGCGACAAGCAUCCAAUUUGAUCGUAUAUGUUAAUCAGUACAUUUUGAAACAGAGAUAAACUUUUUUGUAUAAGGUACACCGGGGUAAGUGGGGACGAUGGCUAUUAAAAACCUGUGAAUUUUUUUUAUAAACUUUUAAUGAAGAAUGUUAAAUUUACUUGUAAUCUAUCCAAUAACUGUAAAACAGAUACGGUUCCGACAAUAGCGGAUGAUUACGGUAAUUUUUUGUUAAUUUUAUAUUUUUAACUAAGAUGUGGAGUUGAUGUGCAUCUUUUUCAAUCGCAAAUUUCUCGUAAACUAGCUGACUCUUGACGAAAAACUCUACAUUGAAACAAUUCUUACAACCAGUUAGAAAAGAAACGACGGUUUAAAAUUAAGAAAAAGGAGUUUGUUUGCAAAAAUCUAAAAUUUUGUCUCCAAACCCUACCUGGGGUAAGUGGGAACGGUUUCAUACAUACUUGAUAUUUACACAUUUUUUUGUACUCUACGAGAGCGAGAGCUUUUGCAAGCAUAUUUGGAAACUGCACAAAACCUGUAUCUUUCGUCUCUGCCCUACCAGAUGUAUUUCGGAUUGGGCAUUGAAGAUUUGUCGGAGCUAAAGUACAAAUCGUUUGGAGGGUUUAAUUUUCGAUCAACAAUAAGGACAACUGUAGCAUAGAGACGCUCAAUCAACUGAAUGUGAACUCAUUUAUGUACUGUGCUAUUCUGGUGGCGCAGUGCUUUGGAAAGCAAACAAAAUUACAAUUUAAAUUUUCGAGUUUAACAGAAAAGAAUAUGGCACAAGCCACAACUGUGAUCAGUUCGACAGCCAUCACUCCGCUGCCGAUCGAGAAAGCUCCUCCCGUAUAUGUAGACAUAACUAAUUCCGACUAACAUUCCCACGGCUACCACACAACCCACCUACAGCGUUACCGUUCCUGAACAAAACAUCAAACACAGCGUGUUCUGAAGGCCACCACCAUUCCUUCCAUCGCACCAGGAAUGUUCGCCCAAAACAUCGUAUCAGCCACUGCUUAUACCUUUUUUUCUGCCGCUGCCGAUAAAGAAGCAGAAGAGGCGAACAGCUGCACAAAAUUGCUGCGAAUCAUUCGAUUGCCGGAACUGUUGAUCAAAAUCAUGGAGAGUUGCACUUGAAGUGGUUCUUUCUACAUUCCAUCGCAUAUUCACAAACUGCGCUUCGAAGGCCCCACCCUAGAAGAACACAAGGUAGAUUGUUUGAAUUAUCUCAUUUCUCACCACUCCCAACAAAUUGAAUUGAAAAAAAGGAAAACCAGUAGCGUCCACGAUUAAUGAAGAGCCGUCAUCUGGUGGUGGAAACGGCCCCGACGCCAUCGCAGUCACUCCCUCGGUGGUUGCGCCAACAAUUUCCGUUCCAAUGGCCACGACCAUUCCUUCCAUCGCACCAGGAAUGUUGGCUCAAAACAUCGUAUCAGGCGCUGCUUAUACCUCUUCUUGUGCCGCUGCUGAUAAAGAAGCGGAAGAUGGUGACGACGAUGACACGGGCUUCGUUUCCAGUCAAAAUGAGCGGUGAAAAUAAGUUCAAAGUUUUUUAGGACUGCAAAGAGUUGAAGAGGCCUCGCUGAGUUUUGCGUAGCAAAACUGAUUCAAACAAAUUUUGAAUUGUCAUGCAAGCGAAUAUGUGCAUAAAAUUGCUGCCAACCAUUCGAUUGAAUAAGCUUGCGCCAGACAUCGCAAUGUCUUAUAGCCGGAGAGGCAGCAAAGGAAUAAAAUAGAACA
This is a long non-coding RNA of Uranotaenia lowii, 4472 nucleotides long. RefSeq lists it as uncharacterized. The record is from RefSeq and is a predicted model, not a curated record. NCBI's taxonomy places the organism in Eukaryota, Metazoa, Arthropoda, Insecta, Diptera, Culicidae. The transcript is spliced from 11 exons.